GCCACCGAAGCCCGACGCGAGAUCGGGCAUGCUCCGAACCAGGGUACUGAGGAGUAAGUACGAAGACAUAGAGGAACGAUGUCAGCUCUGCAAGGAUAAAGCACCGGAAAAUAUUAGGCAUGUAAUUCUCGAAUGUGAGGGGUUGGGAACUCGACGAUUGUGCUCGCUCGAAAAUGCACUGGGUUUCACCGCAGACGACGGCGACGAACCGGAAACGGAAGUCAGGGAAACGAAAAGAAGACUAAGAAGUUGGUUUCAAAAGACACGACGAUCUACCGGACAAGAGACUGUGACAACAGAGGCAGACUGAGUGGAAGAAACAGUGUAUUCUUUGUAGUCUUGUGAACUUUUUAUUUCUUACUGCAUGUCCGCUCCGCCGGAGCUGGACCCUCGUUACAAAGAGGCCCGCCAGGGGUGCCAAACCAUCCAUCCAUCCGCCAUGUUUAAACGUGAAAUUUCUUAGCGCAAUGUUUAAAUUGAGGCGUGUUUCUUCCACUGCAUAUUGCAGUUGACAUCAGUUGAUCGGGAACAUGUUCCUUGGGUUGUUCACCAUGGCCAUCAUCUGGGAUAGCACGAAGGCUCAUCUAAAAAGUAAGUCACAGAACUAUCUUCUUCACGUUCUUGAAGGGAGACUUCGCGAGGACACGAAAAAUAUUAGGUGAGCGUCAUGCCGAACAGUAACCACCCCCUCGAUACCGAAUACAACAUUCACGUUCAUUUUGUGCGAGUAAUUAUUUAAUAAAUGAUGACGAAAGCAAACCGAAAUGCGACGGUUCGUCCAGAGGAGGGUACUGUGAUGUCACCCAGCGUUAUCGUCUGCUUCAAAACCUGCAUUCUUCCUUGCGUUUUGAAGGAGACGAAAAAAGGAUGUGCCGUGUAGUUGCCAUUUCCAUCAUGUAGCGAAUCUCUUGCUGCAACCAGAACCGUUUGUUACCAUAGAUUGAGAAGUUACCCGUCAAAAAGACCUCGUUACAAGUUAAGUUACCGUGUGCAAAAUGUAACUAAGUUAAUAACAAAAUUCUUCAGCCUGAAAUGUAACUCGCAGUUACUGAGUUACUUAAAAAAAGAACGAGUUACUUCCAAGUUACUUCGGACACAAAAUAGCAUUACGCAGGUGCAGCGCGCGUGAGCAGUUGAGUUAGACCUUGAGUUGCCUGCGGAGGAGUGCAACACGCUUAGAUCGUUUUCGUUUAUGUCCAACAAUAGACACCUCCCUGUUUGUAAACAAAUGACGUCCUAGUGCUCGACAGCGCCAAAAUUUGGUAGAAUUGAACUACGCUCGAAGCUAGGGGUGAAUAAGGUCGCGCCCGAAAGCCACGCUCUUGAGGGGAUUACGAUAUGGUCCCUUAAGGGGACGCGACCCCGGGUCCUACUUUUCUUUCAAUGCGAGGCAGUGACCAAGUGCCCGUUCAUGGAACCCAGCCCUCUCCCUCCGAUUUGUUGCGGUUUCAGUCUGCCUACCAAUGUCAUGGUGACGUUUCUCUGGUAGAGGUAUAAUCGAACGCUUUGCAUCUUUACUCCCUGUGGGCGCACAAUGAUUAAACUUCAUUGCAAUGGCAGCGGUUCUUACUUCUUGAAUAAAAUACUGUCAUUGAUUGAAUAUCACGUUUUAUGGUAAAAGAUGCCAUGGAGGAACCGGAUAGAAAGCAAGAAAAUAUGUGGAUGUGAGUGAAAAGCGAGUUAACAGUAACUUGGAACUUAACUUAAGUUACUAAAGGCAAAGUUACCCGAAGUGAAGAGUGCCCGGCCUGGCAUCUCCAGCUGUGGCUUACGCCAUUCUAGCCUUAACCAAACAAAUUUAUUAGACAAGUUUAUAAGAGGGUGCUGGCAUAUUCUGUUGGCACAGAGCAAACAGGAUGCCGGGUCAGGGACCCAGGUCGGUGCAGAGCUCUAACGUGUGUUACUCUCAUUGCGUAAGCACGGAGGCCAAGCAGAAUUUUACAGAGCUUGAACUUUGUGAAACUUGAAUUUUCCCAAUGUCUGAAUGGGAAGACUUUAUGCACCUCCUACAGGGCGGCUACUUCAUGUCUAAAAAUUGCAUACCAUGAUCAAGCCAGCAACAAUCCAAUCCCAAUUGAAACUACCAUAGCAGGAAAAAUAUGCAAAGAAGGAACAAUACAGCAUCUUGCAAAUUUUGCUUAAACGACUACAUGAUCUGUGCAUGGAAUGUAAAAGGAAUAGGCAGAGCACAAAAUGCACAACUGAACUAGAAAAAAGAAAAUCUAACUUUGGCAAACUGCAGAAGUGGAUCUUGUAAGGAUGCUUGUUUCGCUUUCAAAAACAAAGUGACAAAACACACAUUGAAACAACUGCGCCAGAUUGAUUUCGAACGCUGUUAUGACGGGCCUUCCCAUGGCUUAUUUCUCCUGAAGGGACUAGCCAUUCCCAUGGUACGUUGGCCAGUUUUAGUUUCCAGGUUGCCAGAAAAAGACUGCCUUCGUGACGUCACUAUCCGGUCUUACCCGUUCCUACUUACCUUAGGAAGGAGACCUAUAGUUUGGAAACUCUGAUGCUAACUUCACCGAGUAACUCUACCCGGUUUUGAAAUGGUGCUUCAAGUGCAAUGCUACUCCCGAGUGAACUCGAGUACAUUUAGGUAUGCACCCUAUGUGUCCCAGCAAAAGGGAAAUGAAUCUCCAAGAAGGCAAGGGUACAUUACAUACACACAAAUGGACCUACCUGCUUUCUGAUUGAAGGACGCUAUUGUUUUCCCAGGCUGCACUGUACAGUACGUUCUGAAAACAGAGGAUGGCCACUGUAUUAUAUCAUAAAGCUAAGUGAUUGAAAAUAGAAUUAUUUGUGCAAAAUAUUGUGCCUAAAGACAUCGGAUGAGUGCAGGAGAACAGAAGGUAGUGUUGAGAGCCACGCGAUCUGUCAAUAAUGUUAACAUUUAAAUGGGCUUUGCAUCGUUGUAGUGCCUGUCCUGCAACGAAUAGCGUUACAGGCUUAAAAAGCCUUAACUUCAGUCUUAAACUUCAAGGAAGAGUUUCACAUUUCAACUGAAGUUCAGCAGUAUGUGAACAUUUCCCUGUGAGAAUGCAGGAACAGGAAAGCAUACAGGGCUUCAGAAAAUCCCAGGGAUCUAGUGGCACUUUGAAAUAUUGGAACUUUGUUAUCAGAAAGGGGGAGUAACUCCCCAAAACCCUUUGUUUCUCCUGUCCCGGCUGCAGUCCAUGAAGUGUAAAGAUCACAGAAAACUAAACAUGAAAGGCUAGUCUCUCUUCCCAGUGACAAAAAAUGUCCACUGUGCACAAGGAGCACUGGGAUUUCUUGAAGUUGUCUAUUGUACUGCAGGAGAGCUUGGUCUUGUGCCACAAAACUCCAUUUUUAUAUGGAUACGGCUGUGUGUUGUAGGCCUGAUUGGGAUGCAUUCUUAAAGCCUCUAAUUCAAGUCAGAUUGCAUCCCAUCAAUUUUAGUUUAAAAUCAGACUGUUAGAUACUCAGAAAGGCUGAUACUAUUAGUAUAGACGGCUACAGCUGCACUGAUGAGUAUGAUUUUGCUGUUUGUUGGCAGGAAUUCUACCUUGUAGAGUACCUGCAUUUCAGAUGUAGGUACCACAGUAUACCCUGCCCACCAAUUCCUUUAGUUUCAUUGUCGCUCACUGGUACACGUGUUAAUAUCCCCUCACAUUAGUAGAGCUUAGAGAGGAAAGCGCUAGCUAUGAGUGCUCUGCACCGUAACUUUUAUUAUUUUUUUUUUAAUGCAUACCAUCUUGUAUGUCAGUCUUGAAAACCAAACAGGCACCCCAUGUGAUAAUCAAUAGGCGUGGCUCAAGGCAAUGGGCCUUCACAUGUACAAAGCAUAACAAAAAAAACAUGACACAUACCAAGUUUUUAUGACAAUGUUAAGCAUGACACACGUUGAAGUGCCCACACACACUUCACACUUGUGCAAGCAGAAAGUAUUUUUCUGGGUUGCCGAGCACAACCAUGCUAUCUAUUCGAAGCAUUAGUGGCUCUUAAGCUGUAGGUUUACCUUUUAUUAUCGGAGUGAUUCGUAUUGCGUAACAUUAUUUCUGUUUUGCUGAAGUUGGGUAUCUCCGCGAAUGUCAUCUUGGCACUGUGAAAUUCCUGUGCGCAUAUCUAGUUUAUGUGCCGUUCCAUUUUAACCUUGGAAUCGUUUUCCGUCAUUAGUAUUUGGCGAUCAUUCCUCAAAUUCUUCCUGAGAGCAGUUUAUUACGGAAAGCUUAGGUAGCGACGAUCGUGUCUGUGGGUUUGUUUGCUGCAAAAAUAUUAAACUUCUCCCACUCAGGAACAGAGUUGGUGUUGCGCCAUUGAGCAUCCAAUCAAUCAAUCAAUCAAUCAAUCAAUCACUCAAUCAACCAACCAAUCAACCAACCAGGAAGAGUGGGAAGAGCAUUGAUGUAGGGAUACAGGGACACACAACACGCCGGCAUGCUGGUCUCCUUUCAACAUGGCGUUUGCUCCGCCGUCAUGGCCGGCAUCGUCUGCUCGCGGGGAUGAUUUCGUUCCGGACGAAUUCUGGACGUUUGGUCUAUGUGUAAUCACAAAUUGCGCAAAACUAAUUGAUUAAUAAUACUUGUGUAUACAAUAGGGAUAUAGGAGAUACUACUUCGGCAUACAUGGUGAACAUCGACGAGCACUCAGACUGUGGGGGCUGUGGGGGUGAGACGAGGACUUGAUUGAUCUUCUGAUAUGUCGAUGAUCGCUAAUCAAGGCUUCCCAAGAUGUAUUCCUCGUUACUAUAUUUUGAUUAUUUGUUUAUUUGAUUGCCUUUUGUAAGUGUGGAAUUUUUCUUUUAUUCCCACGGAGGGGAUUUGCAGCAGAUGGCGUGAGAAGCGCAAACAUCAAUAGAGAUAAUGGACAUACGAAUGCCGGGUCGAGUAGACGUUAAUAAAUUGAGGUAUUCGUGAGGAUAUUAUUAUAAUGUGAACCAUUUGUGUGAUAAACAAGCAGCCAUGAUGAUAUUGUUACCGAUUGGCGGAUUUGGUUGCCUUAUGAUGUGCUCAUGAUGGCAACUUCGCGUGGGACGGCGGCUGCUCACCCGGAACUUUGGUAUUCGAGGUUUGAUGGGGUCCAAUUGUCACGAAAUUCAACGUUAUCGCUUCUCGGCCUUUUGGCUAAGAUCAAAGUGUAGUAUCUGUUCUUAUCAGCUUAAUAUCUGAUACGAGUCCUAUUUGGACUCAAGAUAUUAAACUUAUUUUUGGAAUGCGGCGGAGUGCUUGAAGCUUGCUUCACCUCUGCCACGGGUUGGCCCGGUAUUGCAGUACCUCCGGGAUCGGCCCACU
Ornithodoros turicata is the source of this 5249-nucleotide long non-coding RNA. RefSeq lists it as uncharacterized. The transcript has 2 exons. NCBI's taxonomy places the organism in Eukaryota, Metazoa, Arthropoda, Arachnida, Ixodida, Argasidae. The record is from RefSeq and is a predicted model, not a curated record.